Molecule: long non-coding RNA, 668 nt
Organism: Sphaeramia orbicularis (orbiculate cardinalfish)
Lineage: Eukaryota; Metazoa; Chordata; Actinopteri; Kurtiformes; Apogonidae
Exons: 3
Source: RefSeq, a predicted model, not a curated record
AUCUGAUAAGUACAGAGCUGAAACCAGCACUGUGAGGCGGACUGUUGUUUGUUCACCUGAAAUAUGGCACAUCAGCAGUAUUUAUAGUUAAAGCCGUGAUUCCUGCACGCUUGACAGUCCCAUUUCCCAACGGACGCAAAACAUGCUCACAUAUGGAGGAAUCAAGUCACACACACUCUUUAAGUGAGUGAUGAAUUUCAGAAAAUGGAAGUUAUGCAUCGUUACUGGAGCAACAUCUGCAGGGAUUUCUUGGCUGUGAUUACAGGUGUGACGGUGAUGUGGCAGAGGCAUCAUCACAGGAACUAUGACUGAAGCACCACUGAGCUUCAUCUGGAUGGUUAUAUAUGUAUCACAGAUUCAGCAUGACUCACCACUCCUCUGCUGUCCUCCGCCACUCAACACUUUUUGAUCCUAAACUGUUUCACUUUUCUGAACACACCUCAGCCUCCGUAUCAGCCUGAAGCUGCAUGGGAAACUUGGCUGUAAGACUUGGCAAGAAGAGUUGGAGUCAGUGUAGUGGUAGGAAUGGGAUGGGAUAUGAUGUUAUUGAUACCGAUGGUAUUAUCAACUCUGCUUGUGGGCCAUUUAUCAACUGUAUUACUGACUCCAGAUCAAAAACCUGAUCUUAGAAAAAGUAGGUCUAUGCAGGUUUCGCACUCUGUUUUGUU